GACGAACGCUGGCGGCGUGCUUAACACAUGCAAGUCGAACGGAAAGGCCCUGCUUUUGUGGGGUGCUCGAGUGGCGAACGGGCGAGUAACACGUGAGUAACCUGCCCUUGACUUUGGGAUAACUUCAGGAAACUGGGGCUAAUACCGGAUAGGAGCUCCUGCUGCAUGGUGGGGGUUGGAAAGUUUCGGCGGUUGGGGAUGGACUCGCGGCUUAUCAGCUUGUUGGUGGGGUAGUGGCCUACCAAGGCUUUGACGGGUAGCCGGCCUGAGAGGGUGACCGGCCACAUUGGGACUGAGAUACGGCCCAGACUCCUACGGGAGGCAGCAGUGGGGAAUAUUGCACAAUGGGCGGAAGCCUGAUGCAGCAACGCCGCGUGCGGGAUGACGGCCUUCGGGUUGUAAACCGCUUUCGCCUGUGACGAAGCGUGAGUGACGGUAAUGAGUAAAGAAGCACCGGCUAACUA
RNAcentral lists this ribosomal RNA (464 nucleotides) under uncultured bacterium. RNAcentral's name for it is "partial 16S ribosomal RNA". It matches the Rfam family "Bacterial small subunit ribosomal RNA", at positions 28 to 503 of the family's 1533-position model. The record is from RNAcentral.